GCGGCACCGCCAGGCUUUGCCCGCGGUUUCUGUUCAAUUUGCCAAUCCUUUUACUCCGAUUUGAUCAUGAGAGUGUUUAAAAUUGAAUUCCGAGCAAAUAGAGAAAUUUUUACCUCUUUUAGCGGUCGGAAGUGGCUUCAGCGUGAUGACAAAUGGUGGCGGCUUCCUUUCCGGCGGCUGGUUUUUCUUCUCCGGUGGGGGGUGUCUGGCAGUUAGGGUUAGGAUUUGAU
RNAcentral lists this long non-coding RNA (230 nucleotides) under Carica papaya (papaya). RNAcentral's name for it is "long non-coding RNA (CPAP_LNC005150)". The record is from RNAcentral. Lineage: Eukaryota; Viridiplantae; Streptophyta; Magnoliopsida; Brassicales; Caricaceae.